RNAcentral lists this ribosomal RNA (383 nucleotides) under uncultured bacterium. Its description in RNAcentral is "bacterial SSU rRNA". It matches the Rfam family "Bacterial small subunit ribosomal RNA", at positions 28 to 403 of the family's 1533-position model. The record is from RNAcentral.
GACGAACGCUGGCGGCGCGCUUAAUACAUGCAAGUCGAGCGAGAACCAGGGCUUCGGCCCUGGGGACAGCGGCGAACGGGUGAGUAACACGUGGAUAACCUACCCUCGGCACCGGAAUAGCCCGGGGAAACUCGGAUUAAUGCCGGAUAGCCCCACAUCCUCUCGAGGAACGUGGGAAAAGGUAGCUUCGGCCUCUGGCCGGGGAUGGGUCCGCGGUGGAUUAGCUUGUUGGUGCGGGUAAUGGCCCACCAAGGCGACGAUCCAUAGCUGGUCUGAGAGGACGAUCAGCCACACUGGGACUGAGACACGGCCAGACUCCUACGGGAGGCAGCAGUAGGGAAUCUUGCGCAAUGGGCGAAAGCCUGACGCAGCGACGCCGCGUG